CCUACGGGAGGCAGCAGUGAGGAAUAUUGGUCAAUGGUCGGGAGACUGAACCAGCCAAGCCGCGUGAGGGAUGAAGGUACAGAGUAUCGUAAACCUCUUUUGUCAGGGAACAAAGGCGGGGACGUGUCCCCGGAUGAGUGUACCUGAAGAAAAAGCAUCGGCUAACUCCGUGCCAGCAGCCGCGGUAAUACGGAGGAUGCGAGCGUUAUCCGGAUUUAUUGGGUUUAAAGGGUGCGCAGGCGGUCUGGUAAGUCAGCGGUAAAAGCCCGGGGCUCAACCCCGGCCCGCCGUUGAAACUGGCAGUCUCGAGUUGGAGAGAAGUAUGCGGAAUGCGCGGUGUAGCGGUGAAAUGCAUAGAUAUCGCGCAGAACUCCGAUUGCGAAGGCAGCAUGCCGGCUCCACACUGACGCUGAGGCACGAAAGCGUGGGUAUCGAACAGGAUUAGAUACCCUUGUAGUC
Molecule: ribosomal RNA, 459 nt
Filed under: uncultured bacterium
Lineage: Bacteria
Description: partial 16S ribosomal RNA
Rfam family: Bacterial small subunit ribosomal RNA
Source: RNAcentral